Molecule: ribosomal RNA, 253 nt
Filed under: uncultured bacterium
Lineage: Bacteria
Description: partial 16S ribosomal RNA
Rfam family: Bacterial small subunit ribosomal RNA
Source: RNAcentral
UACGUAGGGUGCGAGCGUUAAUCGGAAUUACUGGGCGUAAAGCGUGCGCAGGCGGUUUUGUAAGCCAGAUGUGAAAGCCCCGGGCUCAACCUGGGAAUGGCAUUUGGGACUGCAAGGCUUGAGUGCGGCAGAGGAGACUGGAAUUCCUGGUGUAGAGGUGAAAUUCGUAGAUAUCAAGCGGAACACCGGUGGCGAAGGCGGCCUUCUGGACAGUGACUGACGCUGAGACGCGAAAGCGUGGGGAGCAAACAGG